UCUCUCUCUCUCUCUCUCUCUCUCUCUCUCUCUCUCUCUCUCACACACACACACACACACACCCACUUAAGCAGAGACUAUUUGUGUAGCCACAAAAAAACCCACAAGUUGUCACAUCCGCCACAAAACUGCGUGACUCUUUAUUUUCUCAUCCCUUGCACAAAAAGUCUUCCAAAGUGUUCACCACAUUGUGUAGUGUGCUCCUUAACUCAUUCUACAUGUUUUUAUGAAGAUAAGCUGAAACAUUUCCAACGUUACUGCUUUUUUUUUCUUCAAAAAAGUGUAGUAAUGGUGUUGCAGGGUUUCAUCAUUUUGCUUUUCUUCAUCAGUAGUAACCAUGGACAUACUGAAUUCAUUUAUACAGCAAAGGAUGAAGUAAAAUUGUUUUGCGACACCAACAAAUGGGAAAUAAGCACAAAGUCUGACAACAACAUUGAUGUGAAUUGCACAGUGGAGUGUGUUCAUGGUGAAGCACUCAAACUUAAUAAUACCCAGAAUUCCUGCAAAAAUAAAGAUUCGUUCAAAGUUGGUGAAAAAUGUUCGCUAAUAGCGAGCAGUGGAUUUUAUCGAUGUGUUACUGCUCUGGAUUCUGGUUUCUUAUUUCCAUUCAAACCGUCUCCCAACACUGUCACGUCGUACAUAGUCGCCACUGCAAAUGAAGAAAUGACAAACAAGUCUGAGGAAAGAUCUUCAGUCGAGCUAACUGAAGGUGAAGAUGUACUUUUAAACUGCAGUGACAUCUUUACAGAAGAAUAUGACAACCAGGACUUUGUAGUGUACUGGAUCAAGACCAUUGGAAAGAACAGUACCUGUGUGUCUUCUUAUGAUUUUGAUUUAUAUACUCGUAUAACAUACAAUCCCCACUGCAAUGUGCAAGAAGAACUGCUUUACAGACUCUCAAACCAAACUGAAGGCAAAAUCACCCAUAACAUCAGGAUCAGUAACGUAACAGACUCAGAUGCUGGACAAUAUCUUUGUGCCUUACAAGUGCGCACACGUGCACACACGUAUCAAGUGCACACACGUGAUAAAACAAAAGGAAAGUGGAAGAUCAUAAAUAAUAUUACAGUCAGUGUACAUAAAGACAAAGGACCUGAAAUAGCUGGAAACAGUGCUGACCUCAACCCUAAAGAUCCCAUUCCUAAAGACAAAGCAUCUGAAAGCACUGGAAACAGCACUGAGUCUCUGAUCCGCUUGUGUGUUACACUGCCAGUAAUACUGGGUAUUCCGGCAGCUCUUAUGGUGGUAUAUUUAUGGAAAAAGAUGAAAAUUUCACCAAGAUCUCAGGCUAUGGAACUGCAAACAAUCCAACAUUGAGAAGAAACUCCUGAUAUGAACUUUGAGGCAUGAGAGUAACACAGCACUUAGGAAGAGCUGACGUUUAAAACGUGUUAAAUAUGUGCUCUUUAUUAUGCUUUCUUUUACUUAUUGAAACUCUCCCAAUACUGUCCCAGCAUGUGUCUUUCUCAUUUCAAACCUACAAAAUUAGUCCAUUUAAUAAAUCUGACUUUGGGUCAAAUUUAAUGGUUCUGUAUUUUCUUUCUAAGUAUAAAAAAGCAUUAGAAUGUUUUUAUUGAUGAAAAGACA
This is a long non-coding RNA of Ictalurus punctatus (channel catfish), 1587 nucleotides long. The record is from Ensembl. Lineage: Eukaryota; Metazoa; Chordata; Actinopteri; Siluriformes; Ictaluridae.